Chelonoidis abingdonii (Abingdon island giant tortoise) is the source of this 3259-nucleotide non-coding RNA. NCBI's taxonomy places the organism in Eukaryota, Metazoa, Chordata, Testudines, Testudinidae. The record is from RefSeq and is a predicted model, not a curated record.
CAAGGGAAAUAAGUGGUGUUAUGAGUGAGAAGGGAGCUGUCUAUGAGCCAGCCUAGCAGUGGGAGGCCUCCAUCCUGCAGGUUAACCCUGGGCCAUAACCUCCCCCCUGUGGGACAAGGACUUCUGCUCAGCUGAACCAGGGCAAUCUACAACGGAUGGGAAGCUACAAGUCCAGCACUACCCAGUCUGACAAAGCACAGCCUGGUGUUUUCAAACAACCCCCAAGUCACUGCUCCCAAAACUAUGGCAUAAGGGCUUCUGAAGCCCUGGGCCAACCCCAGUUGCAAGGUGCAGAGGGGGAUCUCCAUGAAAGCUCUGCCAACAGCAGCCCUCGGCAGGUGAAUGCUGCCAGGACAAAGCAAAACAAGCAGCAUACGCUACCCCUCUCCCCCGCGAGCCUUUCCUUCCCCAAAGGGGGAGGACGCUGGAUGCUGGAGGUGUGUCUGCCGCUCCUUGGACUCAGGUGGAUCCCAAUCAACAUCCUUGUGCACCUGGCACCAGAAGGAACCAGGAAGUGGAGGCCAGGGGAGUGCAGCUUGCUGCAGAGGAGAUCGGCUGGAAGAAGUGCUCUGGAAGAAGCGCUCGGAGUGGUCCCAAGAUCAGACCGCAGGGGAAACUCGGAAAGGAACCAAAAAUGGGAUCUGAAGGGCAAAACUUGGGAGAGGAGUUCAACGACCAGAUCAAUGACGUCCUGAGCAGACUGGCAACCAAACAGAUGUUCCAGUCAGACUGGGACAUUGCUGCCUUCGCCAUCUUCUUCAUCUUCAUUGGUACCGUGCUGUUGAUGGUUCUCCUGGCUCUGAUCCAUUGUUGCUGCUGCUGCUGCUGUGACACCCGGGGAUCACACAAAAAGGUCCCCAGAAAGAAAGUGGGCAUUGAUAACAAGGCCAUGGAGCCAUAACCCCGCCUCCUCCCUUGGACAGACUGAUUCUGGAGCCAACGGGCAAAAGACUCUUCUUUGCUUGCUUCUUUCUGCUACACAGCAAUCAACUGCAGAUCAAACUCUUUGUGUUAAUUUUGAGUGCUGGCCUGGUGGGGCCCUGGCCUCACACAGCUGUGCUUCACUGGCUCCAGCACUUGUUCAUCCUUCUCUGUGCACAAAGGAUGAAGAUUAAAAGGAACUCGUAUGAUGCUGAAUAAGAAUAGCAUCUACAGCCAUCUCACAUUGUACAAUUAGACCCACUAGUCCUCAAACUACGGGGCAGAAGUUGCUCAUCAGCCUAGGGUCAGCAGAGGAAGUCUGCCCCCUUGUGGUAGAGUACUGUACAUAACAGGGAGUUUACACCUUCCAAGGCCACUACUGGCAUCAGGGAUUGCAACUAGAUGGGCCAUUGGGCCGGUCCUGAAAGGCAACUCCUGUGUGUGUAUAGUCACCAAUUAAAACAGUGUCCCCAGGGACUCUUCCAGGUCCCUGAAAACAUCCCUUGCUUUGUCCCUCGCUGGCAGCUGUCAUCUGACACUUCCAGAGUCUGGAAAGGAACAUGCCCUAGAUCAGAACUGACCACAGGGGAAGGAACAGCUCCCCUGAAAGCCCAUCCUGGCUUAGCUGAAGACAGCGGAGGCAUAGGUCUUGGCAGCACUUUCCUAUAGAGCCCCCAUUGACACAGGCUCUUGAGUCCUUUUGGCAGCAGCCAAGGAGUUAAAUUGCUACCUGCACAGUCCCUGAUAGCCAAGAGAACUGCCCAUAUGACCAGUUGAAGGAGAACAGGCUCAGGGGAGGAAGCAUGUCUUGUGCACUGACAUGCUGCUGUCUCCACUCAUCCAGCAGAAGGAAGACGGAGCUCUGCAGAAUACCACCGAGCUAGGGUAGUGCUGGUGCAGUCCUGAUGCUCAAGAGACCCAGCUCGCUGUGUCUGUAAUGGCAAGGCCAGUCCCCAGCCAAGGGCACUGGGCUCUAGUUCAGGGAGCUCAGGAAAGCCCAGAGUCAUUUCUUUUCUGCAUAGAUGGUUUUACACUGUGGAUGUAGUGCAUGGUCAGUGGCCUUCUGCUGAGUCCUACGGAGCCAGCAAGCACAUCCCAUUAGCCAGUGACCCUGUCCAGCUCCCUGAGACACUGCCACAAACACUGCUUUGUUCAGCAGGUAGGGGAGGGGUUAGAACUCACCACCGUCUCCCUCUGGGAAGGCGUAUUGCAGGGCCAGGUUAAGUUAGCCUAUCCACUGUCUGAGACACUGACUCCCUGCAGCAGGACAAGCCAAAUAAGAGAGUAACUUGGUCAGUGGCUUGGAAGCCAUGGAAAGUGAGGGGGCCUGAGCACUCCAGCUCCAAACAAAGGGCCUGUCAGUGCCUGGCCUCUGCCACCCCCACCCUUCUCUGGUACUCAGGAACAUCCUGAGCAUGGCAUUCAGGAACAGACUCACUUAGCCACCGGACUAAGUUUAGACAGGAGCUUACCUGGCACUGCGAAGGGAAGCCAGAGUCACAGAGACAACUGUGCUCUGGGCAGGAGAGCUGCUUCUGACUCCUCCAUGAAGCCCUCUAAAUAAGCAGUGUUCAGACAGCACAUGGGACUUCAAAUGGAUCUGUGCUUCUAUUCAGUUUGCACAUUCUCCAUCACAGUACAGUCUUUACGUACGCCCCACUGGCCUGUGAACACCCCUGGAGAGCCUUAUUCCAUAUGGCAUAAUCUCUGCAUUGCAGUGGUAUUGCACUCUGCCUAGGGAGUGUGUCUAAAAGCGAAGGCCCACAAGGUACACGGCUUCAUCUUCCCCAGCCCCUUUCACACUCGCUUUGGCUCAGAGGUGAGUGACAUACAUAGAAGAAAAGGCUUCUUCACCCUGUGGGCUUGAUCCUGUGCUCAGUAAGACCACUGACUUCAGUGGCAGCUGGAGCAGACCCGCUUUCUGCCCAGCAGUUUGCUCUCAAACCCAGCUAGCAGCAGGGCAUGCUGAAAAUACAGGAGUCCCUUUGGUUGGAACAUUUAUCAAUUUCAACAGCACUUCUGGCUGAGCAGAGCCACUGACUAGUGCCUUACAACCCUGUGCUUUUUAUGCUAAUUAGAGUCAAGCACAGGGAGUGUCACAUCCUUCCUGCUGGUCAGCUGCUCCAGUGCUUGUGAAUGCCUUCUCCCGCCCAGCUCUGUUUAUCCACUGACUAGUGGCUCAUAGGGAACCCAAAAGGAAGGUGUUACGGUCAGUUCAAUUAACAUUCCAAACAAUGUCCUUUGGGGUUUCCCACUGACUUGUAUGUUCAUAAAACUUUCUAAUUUCGUCUCUGAAUCCAGGAAGACUCAUGAUUAUAAAUAAAAAGCACAUGAUGGA